UACAGAGGGGGCAAGCGUUAAUCGGAAUUACUGGGCGUAAAGCGCGCGUAGGCGGCUUUUCAAGUCGAUUGUGAAAUCCCCGGGCUUAACCUGGGAACUGCAGUCGAGACUGUCUAGCUAGAGUAUGGGAGAGGGAAGUGGAAUUUCAGGUGUAGCGGUGAAAUGCGUAGAUAUCUGAAGGAACAUCAGUGGCGAAAGCGACUUCCUGGACCAAUACUGACGCUCAUGUGCGAAAGCGUGGGGAGCAAACAGG
RNAcentral lists this ribosomal RNA (253 nucleotides) under uncultured bacterium. RNAcentral's name for it is "partial 16S ribosomal RNA". It matches the Rfam family "Bacterial small subunit ribosomal RNA", at positions 524 to 776 of the family's 1533-position model. The record is from RNAcentral.